RNAcentral lists this ribosomal RNA (253 nucleotides) under uncultured bacterium. Its description in RNAcentral is "partial 16S ribosomal RNA". It matches the Rfam family "Bacterial small subunit ribosomal RNA", at positions 524 to 776 of the family's 1533-position model. The record is from RNAcentral.
UACAGAGGUCUCAAGCGUUGUUCGGAUUCAUUGGGCGUAAAGGGUGCGUAGGUGGCGCCGUAAGUCGGGUGUGAAAUUUCGGAGCUUAACUCCGAAACUGCACUUGAUACUGCGAUGCUCGAGUACUGGAGAGGAGAUUGGAAUUUACGGUGUAGCAGUGAAAUGCGUAGAUAUCGUAAGGAAGACCAGUGGCGAAGGCGAAUCUCUGGACAGUUACUGACACUGAGGCACGAAGGCCAGGGGAGCAAACGGG